RNAcentral lists this non-coding RNA (24 nucleotides) under Arabidopsis thaliana (thale cress). The record is from RNAcentral. Lineage: Eukaryota; Viridiplantae; Streptophyta; Magnoliopsida; Brassicales; Brassicaceae.
AAAUUCUCUGAGUGGUGACUUAGG